This 301-nucleotide ribosomal RNA is filed under the name uncultured bacterium. Its description in RNAcentral is "partial 16S ribosomal RNA". It matches the Rfam family "Bacterial small subunit ribosomal RNA", at positions 509 to 807 of the family's 1533-position model. The record is from RNAcentral.
CAGUCGCCGCGGGAAUACGUAGGGUGCAAGCGUUAAUCGGAAUUACUGGGCGUAAAGCGUGCGCAGGCGGUUAUAUAAGACAGAUGUGAAAUCCCCGGGCUCAACCUGGGAACUGCAUUUGUGACUGUAUAGCUAGAGUACGGCAGAGGGGGAUGGAAUUCCGCGUGUAGCAGUGAAAUGCGUAGAUAUGCGGAGGAACACCGAUGGCGAGGGCAGCCCCCUGGGCCAACACUGACGCUCAUGCACGAAAGCGUGGGGAGCAAACAGGAUUAGAUACCCCUGUAGUCCCUGUCUCUUAUAC